AGAUUGAACGCUGGCGGCAUGCCUUACACAUGCAAGUCGAACGGCAGCACGGGGGCAACCCUGGUGGCGAGUGGCGAACGGGUGAGUAAUGCAUCGGAACGUGCCCAGUAGUGGGGGAUAACUAGUCGAAAGAUUAGCUAAUACCGCAUACGACCUAUGGGUGAAAGCGGGGGAUUCGCAAGAACCUCGCGCUAUCGGAGCGGCCGAUGUCUGAUUAGCUAGUUGGCGGGUAAAAGCCCACCAAGGCUUCGAUCAGUAGCUGGUCUGAG
This 269-nucleotide ribosomal RNA is filed under the name uncultured soil bacterium. RNAcentral describes it as "partial 16S ribosomal RNA". It matches the Rfam family "Bacterial small subunit ribosomal RNA", at positions 26 to 296 of the family's 1533-position model. The record is from RNAcentral.